CGCGCGCCCGACGUGCGCGUAGGGGGAGGGGCCGCGCGCAGAGGGCGGGGAGGUGGGCAAGAUGGCGCCUGCUGAGUGAUUCUCCUCGGAUUCCUCCUGCCGGCGCGGAGACAGCGGGGCAGGGGUCGUGCCGCCACUACCUCCUUUCCUCCUCUCCCCCGCCCCCGGAGCCUUCCUCCUUCCCUUCCCCCCUCCACCUCGGAGGGCAGGCCUGGUUCCCGGGACACCAUGUCGGACUCUGAGGAGGAGAGCCAGGACCGGCAACUGAAAAUCGUCGUGCUGGGGGACGGAGCCUCCGGGAAGACCUCCUUAGCUACGUGUUUUGCUCAAGAAACUUUUGGGAAACGGUACAAACAAACUAUAGGACUGGAUUUCUUUUUGAGAAGGAUAACAUUGCCAGGAAACUUGAAUGUUACCCUUCAAAUUUGGGAUAUAGGAGGACAGACAAUAGGAGGCAAAAUGUUGGAUAAAUAUAUCUAUGGAGCACAGGGAGUCCUCUUGGUAUAUGAUAUUACAAAUUAUCAAAGCUUUGAGAAUUUGGAAGAUUGGUAUACUGUGGUGAAGAAAGUGAGCGAGGAGUCAGAAACUCAGCCACUGGUUGCCUUGGUAGGCAAUAAAAUUGAUUUGGAGCAUAUGCGAACAAUAAAACCUGAAAAACACUUACGGUUUUGCCAGGAAAAUGGUUUUAGUAGCCACUUUGUCUCAGCCAAGACAGGAGACUCUGUCUUCCUGUGCUUUCAGAAAGUUGCUGCUGAAAUCCUUGGGAUCAAAUUAAACAAAGCAGAAAUAGAACAGUCACAGGAAGUUCAGGGAUGAGCAUCUGACGGCUGGUGGCUCAUUAGGAACAAAGACUCUUUUUUUCUGCUCUGAUGUCCCAAGCACAAAGGCUUCAUCCUCAUUCAAAUGGCUUCAAGAUUGCGAGGUGGCUGCCAUCCACUCCAUGUCUGCAUGCCAUGGAGCAACAAGGGAGGAGGAAAAGGGCACUUCAACUCUCCAGGCUGUACCAUUUUGAGGGAAAACAGGGUGGCUCUCUGCAAAAAAUGCCAUGGAAUAUGAAAAGUAAAGCAGCUUUGUCUGCUUUACCAGGGAAAAACUCCCGACUUUCUCAGGGAGAUUGCUGAACUAGAAGAUUGAAUUGAGAUUGGAGUCUUCCUGGAAUAAAUAAAAGAACAGCCACUAAAGGAUCAAAGAGAGCCUGAUGAGGAAUGAAUAGCAAUGCUCUGAAUUCCAACUGACCUUCUACAGAAAAGUACCUGACUGCCAAGUGGUCUUUCCAGUCAUUGGUGGAGGAUCACUUUGGUACCCCUGCCAAUAGGCUCGCCAUGGUCAGCACACACAGUGAAGGAACCUCCAGCAGAAGACUCCCAGGCAUACCAUCAUCAUUGGGCUUUGUGAUCACAACCACUUUCUCUGCUACCAGCAAAAGAAACUACCAUCAGAGUGAACAGGCAACCUAGAAAAUGGGAGAAAAUUUUCCCAACCUACUCAUCUGACAAAGGGCUAAUAUCCAGAAUCUACAAUGAACUCCAACAAAUUUACAAGAAAAAAACAAACAACCCCAUCAAAAAGUGGGCAAAGGAUAUGAACAGACACUUCUUCAAAGAAGACAUUGAUACAGCCAAAAGACACAUGAAAAAAUGCUUAUCAUCACUGGCCAUCAGAGAAAUGCAAAUCAAAACCACAAUGAGAUACCAUCUUACACCAGUUAGAAUGGCAAUCAUUAAAAAGUCAGGAAACAACAGGUGCUGGAGAGGAUGUGGAGAAAUAGGAACACUUUUACACUGUUGGUGGGACUGUAAACUAGUUCAACCCUUGUGGAAGUCAAUGUGGCGAUUCCUCAGGGAUCUAGAACUAGAAAUACCAUUUGACCCAGCCAUCCCAUUACUGGGUAUGUACCCAAAGGACUAUAAAUCAUGCUGCUAUAAAGAGACAUGCACAUGUAUGUUUAUUGCAGCACUAUUCACAAUAGCAAAGACUUGGAACCAACCCAAAUGUCCAACAAUGAUAGACUGGAUUGAGAAAAUGUGGCAUAUAUAUACCAUGGAAUACUAUGCAGCCAUAAAAAAUGAUUAGUUCAUGUCCUUUGUAGGGACAUGGAUGAAAUUGGAAAUCAUCAUUCUCAGUAAACUAUCGCAAGAACAAAAAACCAAACACCGCAUGUUCUCACUCAUAGGUGGGAAUUGAACAAUGAGAACACAUGGACACAGGAAGGGGAACAUCACACUCUGGGGACUGUUGUGGGGUGGGGGGAGGGGGGAGUGAUAGCAUUAGGAGAUAUACCUAAUGCUAAAUGGCGAGUUAAUGGGUGCAGCACACCAGCAUGGCACAUGUAUACAUAUGUAACUAACCUGCACAUUGUGCACAUGUACCCUAAAACUUAAAAUAUAAUAAUAAUUAAAACAACAACAACAACAACAACAACAAAGAAAAGCUUCAAGUCACAUGCAAGGAAAUAUCCAUUAGACUAACAACAGCUUUCUCAGCACAAACCUUACAGGUCAGUAGAAAAUGGGAUAAUAUAUUUAAAGUGCUGAAAGAAAAAAAACUCAGCCAAGAAUACUAUGCCCAGCAAAGCUAUCAUUCAUAUAUGAAGGAGAAUUAAAGUUUUUCAGACAAGCAAAAACUGAGGAAAUUCAUCACCAGUAGACUAGCUUUGCAAAAAAUGCUUAAGGGAACCCUACAUUCAGACAUGAAAGGGUGAUAACUACCAUCGUGAAAAUACACACAAGUAUAAAACUUACUAGUAGGGAAAAUAUAUAAAUGAGAAAGAAGAAGGAAUAAAAUCUUAUCACCAUAGAAACCCACCUAACCACAAAGAUACAAAAUAAAAGAAUAAGAAAGAAACAAGAGAUAUACAAAACAACCAGAAGACAACUAACUAACUGACAUGAGUAAGUCGUCACUAAUUAAUAAUAACCUUGAAAAUAAAUGGAUUAAAUUCCUAAAUUAAAAGUUACAGACUAGAUGAACCAAUUAAAAGUACCCAACUAUAUACUGCCUACAAGAAACUCACUUCACCUGUAAAGACACUGAAAGAGAAGGGAUGAUAAAAGAUAUUUCGUGAAAAUGAAUACCAAAAAUGAGCAGAAGUAGUUAUAAGAAAUAUACUUUAAGACAAAAAUUCUAAAAACAUACAAAAAGGUCAUUAUAUAAUGCUAAAGGGGUCAAUUAAAUAAGAAGAUAUAACAAUUGUAAAUGUAUGUGCACCCAACAUAGGAGCACCUUGAUAUGUAAAGCAAAUGUUAUCAGAUCUAAAGUGAGAGAUAGACUCUAAUACGAUAAUAGUUGUGGAUUUCAACAACCCACUCUCAGAAAUGAGCAAAUUAUCUAAGCAGAAAUCCAACAAAGAAACAUCAGGUUUAAAUUAUGCAGUAGACCAAAUAAACCUAACAGAUGUCUACAGAACAUUUCAUGCACUGGUUGCAGAAUACAUAUUUUUCUUAUCAGUACACGGGACAUUCUCCAGAAUAGACCAUAAGUCAGGCUACAAAAGAAGUCUCAACAAAUUGUUUAAAAAUUGAAAUCAUAUCAAGUGUUUUUUUCUGACAAAUAUGAAAGAAAGCUAGAAAUCAAUAACAAGCAGAAUUUUGGAAAUUGUACCAAAACACGGAAAUUAAUGGCCAAUGGGUGAAGAAAGAAAUUCACAGAAAUUAAAAAAUUUCCUGAAAUAAAUGAAAAUAGAAACACAACAUCAGAACUUAUGGGAUAGAGCAAAAAUAGUAUUAAGAGGGAAGUAUAUAGCAAUACAUGCCUAUAUUCAUUAAGAAAGAUUUCAAAUAAAAAACCUAUUAAUGGAUCUCAAGGAACGAGAAAUGGAAGAAUAAACCAAACACUGAAUUAGUAAAGAAACAGCAAUGAUCAGAGCAAAAGUAAAGAAAAUAGAGAGUAAAACUCCAGAUCAACAAAAUAAAAGGUUUGUUUUCUGAAAAGAUUAAAAAAUUGAAAAUACAUUUUAUUUAUUUAUUUAUUUAUUUAUUUAUUUUUUUGAGACGGAGUCUGGCUCUGUUGCCCAGGCUGGAGUGUAGUGGUGUGAUCUCGGCUCACUGCAAGCUCCACCUCCCGGGUUCACGCCAUUCUCCUGCCUCAGCCUCCCGAGUAGCUGGGACUAUAUGCACCUGCCACCACGCCCGGAUGAUUUUUUGUAUUUUUAGUAGAGACGGGGUUUCACCGUGUUAGCCAGGAUGGUCUUGAUCUCCUGACCUCGUGAUCUGCCCACCUCGGCCUCCCAAAGUGCUGGGAUUACAGGCGUGAGCCACCGCACCCGGCCGAAAAUACAUUUUCUAGAUUAACUAAAAAAACAGAGAGACAUUCCAAAUAAAUAAAAUCAGAAACAAACAAAUAAAGACAUUACAACGGAUAUCACAUAAAUACAAAGAAUAAUUAGAGACUAUUACGAACAAUUAUAUACCAACAACUUGUGAAACUAGAGAAAACUGAUAAAUUCCUGGACACAUACAAACUACCAGCAUUGAACCAGGAAGAAAUAAAAAAUUUGAACAGACCAAUAAUGAGUAAUAAGAUUGAAUCUGAAAAAAAAGUCUCCUAAAAAAGAAAAGCCCAGGACAGGAGGGCUUCAUGGCUGAAUUCUACCAAACUUAAAAAAAAAAAAAAAAAAAAAAGAAACUUUUUUCUCAAACUUAAAAAAAAUGAAUGAAAGAAAUUAUUCCUAAUUUGUUCUAUGAGGCCAGGCCAGCAUUACUUUGAUACCAAAACCAGGCAAGGAUAUAAUAUAAAAAUAAAACUACAGGCUGAUAUGUAUGAUAAACAUAGAUGCAAAAAUCCUCAAGAAAAUGCUAGCGAACCAAAUCUAACAGCACGUCAGAAAGAUUAUAUGCCAUGAUCAAAUGCGAUUUUUCCCAGGGAUGCAAGGAGAUUUCAACCUAUGCAAAUCCAUAAACAUGAUACAUCACAUCAAUAGAAUAAAAACCAAAAACCAUAUGAUCAUCUCAAUAGACACAGAAGAAACAUUUGAUAAAAUUUAACAUUUAUUCAUGAUAAAAAUCCUCUAAAAAUUAGGUAUAGGGGAAAUGUAGCACAACACAAUAAAGGCCAUAUGUGACAAACCUACAGCCAACAUCAUGCUGAACAGGGAAAAGUUGGAAGCUUUCUCUCUAACAACUGGAACAAGGCAAGGAUGCCCACAUCAACACUCUUAUUCAAGAUAAUACUGGAAGUGUUAGCCAGAGCAAUAUGACAGGGGAAGAAAUAAGGGGCAUCCAGAUUGAAAAGGAAGAAGUUAAAUUGUUCUUGUUUACAGAUGACAUUAUCUUAUAUUUAGAAAAACCUAAAGACUUAAAAAAAACUUCUGGAACUGAUAAAAAAUUCAGUAAGUUUGCAGGAUAUGAAAUCAACAUAAAAUAAUCGGUAGCAUAUCUAUACACCAAUAAUGAUGUAGCUGAAAAAGCAAUUAAGAAAGCAAUCCCAUUUACAAUACUACAAAAAAGUCUAGUAAUAAAUUUAACCAAGGAGGUGAAAUAUUUCUAUAAUGAAAACUAUAAACACUGGUGAAAGAAAUUGAAGAAGACACACACACACAAAUGGAAAAAUAUCCCAUGCUUAUGAAUUGGAAGAAUUAAUAGUGUGAAAAUGAGCACUAAACAGAUUCAAUGUAAUCCUAUUAAAAUAUCGAUAACAUUCUUCACAGAUAUAGAAAAAAAGUCUAAAAAAUUUAUAUGGAAACACAAAAGGCUUUAUAUAGCCAAAGUAAUCCCGAGCAAAAAGAACAAGGCUGGAGGCAUCACACUACCUGAUUUAAAAAUAUGCUGUUCUACAAAACUUUAAAUCACACUACCUGAUUUAAAAAUAUGCUAUUCUACAAAGCUAUAGUAACCAAAACAGCAUAGUACUGGCAUUCAAAAAGAUACAUAGACCAACAGAACAGAAUAGAGAACACAGAAAUAAGUCCAUAUAUUUGCAGCCACUUGAUUUUUGACAAAUUCACCAAGAACAUGCAUUAGGGAUAGGUCAGUCUCUUCAAUAAAUGGUGCUGGGAGAAAUGGACAUCACAGAAAAAUAAAAAUAGACUCUUAUCUUUCACCACAAGCAAAAAUCAACUCAAAAUGGAUUAAAGGCUUAAAUUGAAGACCUGAAACUGGAAACUACUAGAAGAAAACAUAGGAGAAAUGCAUCAAGACGUUGGUAUGGGCAAAGAUUUUUAUGGAUAAGACCUCAAAAAUGCAGACAACGAAAGUAAAAAAUAGACAAAUGGAAUUGUAUCAAACGAAACCUGCAUAGCAAAAGAAACAAUCAACAGAGUGAAGAAAUAACCUGCAGAAUGGGAGAAAAUAUUCACAAACUAUGACAAAAUAUUAAUAUCAAGAAUACACAAGGAACUCAACUCCACAACAAAAAAAUCAAAUAAUCUGAUUAAAAAGGCAAAUGAACUGAAUAGAUAUUUAUCAAAAGAAGAUAUACAAAUGGCCAAUGGGUUUAUAAAAAUGGUCAACAUCACUAAUUAUCAAGAAAAUGUAUAUCAAAACCACAAUGAGAUAUCAUCUCACCCCAGUUAGAAUAGCUAUUAUUAAAAAGACAAAAAAUAUCAAAUGCGGACAAAGAUGUGGCAAAAAGGAAACUCAAAUACAUCGUUGGUGGGAAUGGAAAUUAAUACAGCCAGUAUGAAAAACAGUAUGGAGAUUCCUCAAAAAACUACAAAUACAUUACCAUAUGAUCCAGCAAUGUCAUUAGGGGGUAUAUGUCUAAAGAAAAGGAAAUCAGUGUGGCAACAAAAUAUCUGCAAUCCCAUAUUUAUAGUAGCACUCUUGUAGCACUAUGAAGAAAACACAGGAGAAAUACUUCAGGAUAUUGGUAUGGGCAAAAAUUUUCAUAAAUAAGACCUCGAAAGUACAGAUAACAAAAGCAAAAAAUAGGCAAAUUGCAUUAUAUCAAACAAACACCUUCUGCACAGCAAAAGAUACAAUCAACAGAGUGAAUAAAUAACCUGCAGAAUGGGAGAAGAUAUUUGCAAACUAUGCCAAGUUUGUACAUGUGCAUUGUAGCAUGUGGAUUGUGCAUCUGGACUGUAGCACCAUAGCCAAGAUACAGAUUGAGCGUAAGUGUCCAUCAACAGAUAAGUAGGUAAAGAAAAUGUGACACAUACACACACACACACACACAUAUACCCAAUGAAAUACUUUUCAGCCAUAAAAAUAAUGAAAUACUGUCAUUCACAGCAAUAUAAAUAAGUCUGGAGGACAUUAGAUUAAGUGAAAUAAGCAAGGCACAGAACAGCAAGUACCACACAAUCUCACUUAUAUGUGGAAGUUAAAACAAAUUGAUCUUAUAGAGAGUAGAAUAGUGGUUACUAGAUCCUGGGAAGGGUAGAGGAGAGAACAGGAUGGCAAGAGUUUUGUUAAUGAAUACAAAAUUACAGCUAAAUAGGAGGGACAGUUCUAGUAUUCUAAGCACCUUGGAGUGACUAUAGUUAACAAUAAUUUAUUGUGUAUUUUUAUAUAGGUAAGAGAGUGUAUUUUUAAUAUUCCCAACGCAGAGAAAUGAUAAAUGUUUGAAGUGAUGGAUAUACCAAUUAUUCCGAUUUGAUCAUUACCCAUUGUAUACCUGUGUCAAAAUAUCACACUGUACCCCAUAAAUAUGUAUAAUAACUAUGUGUAAAUUAAAAAUAAUUUUUAAAAGAUGAGAAGGAACAGAAACACGGAGUGAAUGCCAAGGGUAAAGGACAAGCAUUUUUAACUCUGCCAUAUUUAUAUGAAGGCUACAUAUACUUUGCUCCGAUUUAAUGAUCUUCACAACCUUUAUCUAUGGUUCAUUUACUUAUUCAGCAAAUAUUUCUUGAGUAUCUACUAUGUGUCAGGUGCUAUUCUAAGCAGGUGAGAAAUAUCAGUGAGUAAAAUAAAAAACAUUCUUACCUCCUG
Molecule: RNA transcript, 7868 nt
Organism: Pongo pygmaeus (Bornean orangutan)
Lineage: Eukaryota; Metazoa; Chordata; Mammalia; Primates; Hominidae
Gene: RAB28
Gene name: RAB28, member RAS oncogene family
Exons: 12
Source: RefSeq, a predicted model, not a curated record